CAGAGAUUCCAGAGAAGGAUCGGGAACAGAGAGAAGGGAUGGCUGGAUAGGGUAGCGGUCCCAGGGGGCCAUCAGGAAUGAGAGGAGGGGUUGGAUGGGGU
Molecule: non-coding RNA, 101 nt
Organism: Chelonoidis abingdonii (Abingdon island giant tortoise)
Lineage: Eukaryota; Metazoa; Chordata; Testudines; Testudinidae
Source: RefSeq, a predicted model, not a curated record